Molecule: ribozyme, 75 nt
Filed under: Crocodylus porosus (Australian saltwater crocodile)
Lineage: Eukaryota; Metazoa; Chordata; Crocodylia; Crocodylidae
Description: Mammalian CPEB3 ribozyme (ENSCPRG00005011039.1)
Rfam family: Mammalian CPEB3 ribozyme
About the family: The mammalian CPEB3 ribozyme is a self cleaving RNA located in the second intron of the CPEB3 gene which belongs to a family of genes regulating messenger RNA polyadenylation. This ribozyme is highly conserved and found only in mammals. There is currently only one other known self cleaving ribozyme in mammals, the CoTC motif.
Source: Rfam by way of RNAcentral
UCACGAAGUCGAGGCCAUAGCAGAAGCACUCACGGCGUGGCCCUGUCAGGUCCCGAUGAAUCCGCAAAUUCUGCU